GCUGGGUGUGGUAGUGCACGCCUGUAAUCCCAGCGACUCAGGAGGCUGAGGCAGGAGGAUUGAAGAGUUCAAAGCCAGCAAAAGCUAGGCACUAAACAACUCAGUCAAACUCUGUCUCUA
Molecule: small RNA, 120 nt
Filed under: Marmota monax (woodchuck)
Lineage: Eukaryota; Metazoa; Chordata; Mammalia; Rodentia; Sciuridae
Source: RNAcentral